GGGUGGCGGACGGGUGAGUAACGCGUAAAGAACUUGCCUCACAGACAGGGACAACAUUUGGAAACGAAUGCUAAUACCUGAUAUUAUGACAAUAAGGCAUCUUAUAGUUAUGAAAGCUAUAUGCGCUGUGAGAGAGCUUUGCGUCCCAUUAGCUAGUUGGAGAGGUAACGGCUCACCAAGGCGAUGAUGGGUAGCCGGCCUGAGAGGGUGAUCGGCCACAAGGGGACUGAGACACGGCCCUUACUCCUACGGGAGGCAGCAGUGGGGAAUAUUGGACAAUGGACCAAGAGUCUGAUCCAGCAAUUCUGUGUGCACGAUGAAGUUUUUCGGAAUGUAAAGUGCUUUCAGUUGGGAAGAAAAAAAUGACGAUACCAACAGAAGAAGUGACGGCUAAAUACGUGCCAGCAGCCGCGGUAAUACGUAUGUCACAAGCGUUAUCCGGAUUUAUUGGGCGUAAAGCGCGUCUAGGUGGUUAUGUAAGUCUGAUGUGAAAAUGCAGGGCUCAACUCUGUAUUGCGUUGGAAACUGCAUAACUAGAGUACUGGAGAGGUAAGCGGAACUACAAGUGUAGAGGUGAAAUUCGUAGAUAUUUGUAGGAAUGCCGAUGGGGAAGCCAGCUUACUGGACAGAUACUGACGCUGAAGCGCGAAAGCGUGGGUAGCAAACAGGAUUAGAUACCCUGGUAGUCCACGCCGUAAACGAUGAUUACUAGGUGUUGGGGGUCGAACCUCAGCGCCCAAGCAAACGCGAUAAGUAAUCCGCCUGGGGAGUACGUACGCAAGUAUGAAACUCAAAGGAAUUGACGGGGACCCGCACAAGCGGUGGAGCAUGUGGUUUAAUUCGACGCAACGCGAGGAACCUUACCAGCGUUUGACAUCUUAGGAAUGAGACAGAGAUGUUUCAGUGUCCCUUCGGGGAAACCUAAAGACAGGUGGUGCAUGG
RNAcentral lists this ribosomal RNA (942 nucleotides) under uncultured Fusobacterium sp. Its description in RNAcentral is "bacterial SSU rRNA". It matches the Rfam family "Bacterial small subunit ribosomal RNA", at positions 93 to 1048 of the family's 1533-position model. The record is from RNAcentral. Lineage: Bacteria; Fusobacteriati; Fusobacteriota; Fusobacteriia; Fusobacteriales; Fusobacteriaceae.